CACCACUGGCCCUCUUGCAUUGCGCAGACAGAAACAGACAGUCAGCUGUUGUAACGGAGGUAAAAAAUAAAACAUGCCGUAAACUAAGCUCACUCCACAGCUAACUUAAAAUGUCACCAAUGCUGCUAUCGAAUCGAAUCUUUGGCUAUAGGACUACUGGUUGAUACGUUGUCAAGUACCACUGGUCCGAGCCCUGUAAAGAGACAGGGACAGUGGAGGAAAGCGAAGCUGUUAGCGGCACACUGAUGUCAGUUUCACUGUGGUCCACUGAAAAGCAAUAAACACUUCUAUGUACUGUACGUUUACUCUGUUGUAGCGCAGAAAUGUAAUUAAUUUCAAUCUAUUGUUAAUGAUAUUGCAAUCAUGUACUGUAUGUUUUCUGUAUGAUUCUGCUCCGCCACUAUGAAUAAUCGUCACUGUGGCUAGCCAAUCAUUUAUUUCUCAUAAUCGAAUCAAUUUCAAUUAAAAAAUAAAAAAUGUUUAUUUUAAACUCUCCAAGUAUUAAUAACUUCUGUUUAUGUUACUUUUUUGCAUAUUUUUUUUCUCAUCACUUUAAGUUGCUCUCAAUGGUCGUUCACCAGGUACGACCAUAUUUAGUUUACUGCGACUAGAUUUGUGAAAGCCUAAUCUUGACGACACAGAAUCAGAAAAUAUCCCGGAAAAUACCUAAUCUAUCGACAAGAGAUUAGUACAAACCAGGUCUGAAAUGCACCAGAAACAACGGCAUUGUGAUGAAACAAGACAGUGACAAGUCCUACACUAGGACAGGUGGUUUCACAACAGGACCACUGAUGACAGGCCAGGUCCUACUCUGCUCUUCUACCUAUCCAACAGACCCUUAUCUAAAGGUGUCAUCAUACCCAACCUGUGCCAAUGUACCGCAUCACAACUAACGCUGACACAUUCCAGUAACUUCCGCCACCACCCCCAAAAAAUGACCAGGUUUACCAGAAAUCUUAGUUGGAAGAUUUUGCAAUCCUAAUCUGAAUUUAAAACAUUGGAUAUACAGUAUAUGUGUUGUGGUAUUCUGUCUGGUAUGUUAUGUGCUUUCAACAGUAUGAAGAGAUUAAAUAGAGCUUUAUCUGAACUCGUGAUGUUAAGGAAAUGUUAAGUCUUUUGUACUAGUUACAGUACAUGGGUACAAUCAGAGUUACAGUACAUGGGUACAAUCAGAGUAACAGUACAUGGGUACAAUCAGAGUAACAGUACAUGGGUACAAUCAGAGUAACAGUACAUGG
RNAcentral lists this long non-coding RNA (1238 nucleotides) under Salmo salar (Atlantic salmon). Its description in RNAcentral is "lncRNA (ENSSSAG00000105054.1)". The record is from RNAcentral. Lineage: Eukaryota; Metazoa; Chordata; Actinopteri; Salmoniformes; Salmonidae.